This 205-nucleotide long non-coding RNA is filed under the name Elaeis guineensis (African oil palm). Its description in RNAcentral is "long non-coding RNA (EGUI_LNC071662)". Lineage: Eukaryota; Viridiplantae; Streptophyta; Magnoliopsida; Arecales; Arecaceae. The record is from RNAcentral.
GUGUGGCUAUGAGUGAUCUGAGAAAUAUCUUCUCCAAUCAUUGGACUAGAGGAGAUCAAUAUCAAAAUUGAUUUGGUAAUAAUCUCUAACUUGUUUUGAUAGCAAUGGUAGAUCUAAUAAUUAGAUCUAGAUUUUCAGUAUUGAUGAGAUUGAUGCAUAUUUUUUGUUUUCAAAUCUAAAGUGCAUGUUUUUUAUAUAAAAGAUC